Molecule: ribosomal RNA, 1319 nt
Filed under: metagenome
Description: bacterial LSU rRNA
Rfam family: Bacterial large subunit ribosomal RNA
Source: RNAcentral
AGUGGAUGGGGAGCAACCUAGUUGUGCGUGUGUAAAGGUAGUGCCAAGAAAAGCGAUGAUCAUGUUGAAAAUCAAUUCCCGGUACCCGAAACCGACACAGGUGGGCAAGUAGAGAAUACUAAGGGGCGCGAGGUAACUCUCUCCAAGGAACUCGGCAAAAUGACCCCGUAACUUAGGGAGAAGGGGUGCCACCGAGAGGUGGUCGCAGUGAAGAGGCCCAGGCGACUGUUUAGCAAAAACAUAGGUCUCUGCAAACUCGAAAGAGGAGGUAUAGGGGCUGACGCCUGCCCAGUGCCGGAAGGUUAAAGAAGUUGGUCAGUUUUAGGAUGAAGCUAGCGACUGAAGCCCCGGUGAACGGCGGCCGUAACUAUAACGGUCCUAAGGUAGCGAAAUUCCUUGUCGGGUAAGUUCCGACCCGCACGAAAGGCGUAACGAUCUGGGCGCUGUCUCGGAGAGAGGCUCGGCGAAAUAGGAUUGUCUGUGAAGAUACGGGCUACCUGCAUUUGGACAGAAAGACCCUAUGAAGCUUUACUAUAGCUUGGAAUUGUGUUCGGGCUUCCUGUGCGCAGGAUAGGUGGGAGGCGUAGAAGGUAUUCUUGUGGGGAUACUGGAGCCAACGGUGAGAUACCACUCUCAGGAGGCUAGAAUUCUAACUUAAUUAAGGACAGUUUCAGGUGGGUAGUUUGACUGGGGCGGUCGCCUCCAAAAAGGUAACGGAGGCGUACAAAGGUUCCCUCAGACUGGUUGGAAAUCAGUCGAAGAGUGCAAAGGCAGAAGGGAGCUUGACUGCGAGAAGUACAGUUCGAGCAGGGUGGAAACACGGUCUUAGUGAUCCGACGGUGCUGUGUGGAAGGGCCGUCGCUCAACGGAUAAAAGUUACUCUAGGAUAACAGGCUGAUCUCCCCCAAGAGUUCACAUCGACGGGGAGGUUUGGCACCUCGAUGUCGGCUCAUCGCAACCUGGGGCGGAAGUACGUCCCAAGGGUUGGGCUGUUCGCCCAUUAAAGCGGUACGUGAGCUGGGUUCAGAACGUCGUGAGACAGUUCGGUCCAUAUCCGAUGUAGGCGUGAGAAUAUUGAGAGGAGCCUUCCUUAGUACGAGAGGACCGGGAAGGACGCACCGCUGGUGUACCUGUUAUGAUGCCAAUUGUAAACGCAGGGUAGCCAAGUGCGGAGAGGAUAACCGCUGAAAGCAUCUAAGUGGGAAGCCCACCUCAAGAUGAGUAUUCUGGUGUAAGGUCACGGGAAGACGACCCGUAAAUAGGCACGAGGUGGAAGUGCAGAGAUGUAUGAAGCCGAAGUGUACUAAUAGACCGUCGGC